Molecule: ribosomal RNA, 465 nt
Filed under: uncultured bacterium
Lineage: Bacteria
Description: partial 16S ribosomal RNA
Rfam family: Bacterial small subunit ribosomal RNA
Source: RNAcentral
GAUGAACGCUGGCGGCGUGCUUAACACAUGCAAGUCGAACGGAAAGGCUUCUGCUUGCCGGGGUACUCGAGUGGCGAACGGGUGAGUAACACGUGGGUGAUCUGCCCUGCACUUCGGGAUAAGCCUGGGAAACUGGGUCUAAUACCGGAUAGGACGAUGGUUUGGAUGCCAUUGUGGAAAGUUUUUCGGUGUGGGAUGAGCUCGCGGCCUAUCAGCUUGUUGGUGGGGUAAUGGCCUACCAAGGCGUCGACGGGUAGCCGGCCUGAGAGGGUGUACGGCCACAUUGGGACUGAGAUACGGCCCAGACUCCUACGGGAGGCAGCAGUGGGGAAUAUUGCACAAUGGGCGCAAGCCUGAUGCGGCGACGCCGCGUGGGGGAUGACGGCCUUCGGGUUGUAAACUCCUUUCGCUAGGGACGAAGCGCAAGUGACGGUACCUGGAGAAGAAGCACCGGCUAACUACGUG